GGAAAACAAGAUCCUGGCGGUUACAUCACAGCUCCAGGACAUCUCAGGAGCAGGCAUCAGUCAGGCAGGAGUAAUGAAAAGAGAACAACAUGGAUUUCAUCAAUGCUGCUCAGCUGUCAGUGUGCCAGGUUGCCGCU
RNAcentral lists this long non-coding RNA (137 nucleotides) under Sparus aurata (gilthead seabream). RNAcentral describes it as "lncRNA (ENSSAUG00010005962.1)". Lineage: Eukaryota; Metazoa; Chordata; Actinopteri; Spariformes; Sparidae. The record is from RNAcentral.